UACAGAGACCUCAAGCGUUAUCCGGAAUCAUUGGGCGUAAAGCGUACCGAUAGGUGGUUAUGCAAGUCAGAUGUGAAAUCUCCGGGCUUAACUCGGAACGGUCAAGUGAUACUGUCGUGCUAGAGUACAGAAGGGGCAACUGGAAUUCUCGGUGUAGCGGUGAAAUGCGUAGAUAUCGAGAGGAACACCUGCGGCGAAGGCGGGUUGCUGGGCUGAUACUGACGCUGAGGCGCGAAAGCCAGGGGAGCGAACGGG
Molecule: ribosomal RNA, 255 nt
Filed under: uncultured bacterium
Lineage: Bacteria
Description: partial 16S ribosomal RNA
Rfam family: Bacterial small subunit ribosomal RNA
Source: RNAcentral